This 705-nucleotide ribosomal RNA is filed under the name Salmonella enterica subsp. enterica serovar Legon. RNAcentral's name for it is "bacterial SSU rRNA". It matches the Rfam family "Bacterial small subunit ribosomal RNA", at positions 840 to 1533 of the family's 1533-position model. Lineage: Bacteria; Pseudomonadati; Pseudomonadota; Gammaproteobacteria; Enterobacterales; Enterobacteriaceae. The record is from RNAcentral.
UGGCUUCCGGAGCUAACGCGUUAAGUAGACCGCCUGGGGAGUACGGCCGCAAGGUUAAAACUCAAAUGAAUUGACGGGGGCCCGCACAAGCGGUGGAGCAUGUGGUUUAAUUCGAUGCAACGCGAAGAACCUUACCUGGUCUUGACAUCCACAGAACUUUCCAGAGAUGGACUGGUGCCUUCGGGAACUGUGAGACAGGUGCUGCAUGGCUGUCGUCAGCUCGUGUUGUGAAAUGUUGGGUUAAGUCCCGCAACGAGCGCAACCCUUAUCCUUUGUUGCCAGCGGUCCGGCCGGGAACUCAAAGGAGACUGCCAGUGAUAAACUGGAGGAAGGUGGGGAUGACGUCAAGUCAUCAUGGCCCUUACGACCAGGGCUACACACGUGCUACAAUGGCGCAUACAAAGAGAAGCGACCUCGCGAGAGCAAGCGGACCUCAUAAAGUGCGUCGUAGUCCGGAUUGGAGUCUGCAACUCGACUCCAUGAAGUCGGAAUCGCUAGUAAUCGUGGAUCAGAAUGCCACGGUGAAUACGUUCCCGGGCCUUGUACACACCGCCCGUCACACCAUGGGAGUGGGUUGCAAAAGAAGUAGGUAGCUUAACCUUCGGGAGGGCGCUUACCACUUUGUGAUUCAUGACUGGGGUGAAGUCGUAACAAGGUAACCGUAGGGGAACCUGCGGUUGGAUCACCUCCUUACCUUAAAGAAGC